UUCCGUUCCUUUCAUCUCGGGUGGCACUCACAGGAUUUGUAUCACAGAACAAUCUAGGGUCACAGGAAAGCGCAUACUAUACUCCGUUCACAGAACUUCGGUCACAGAAAAUCUGUCUCCCUUCGAAUAGCUUUCGGAUACAACAAUGUCUUGGCAAAGUAUAAACCAGGAAGUGAGUGAACUGUGGUGGGAGAAUGCGUACAAGCUAUUUCUAGAAAACGAUCCUUUAAGAACGAUUAUACGGCAUCUCCUACGCUACUUGAGCAAUAAUACAUGGGAUGAUUAUGGAUUCAACAUCCACACACUUCUUCCUCCAACUGCAGCCGGUUUUUUCAAGCAUGUUGACAAACGGGCCAUUUUGAUCGUGAUUUCAAGAAGGCGGAAACUGGAUUACAAUAAUUGGAAGAGUCUGCAUCCUGCACUUUCUGAACCUGAGGAUCUGGAUGACACCGACAAAUCCCUUAUAAACCAGGUUAUAACCCAGAUGUACAAAGAGGAUGGCAGCCCUAAACCAUUAAACAGAGAGUAAACCGGGUAUCAUCAACUCAAUAAUUGCAGUUAUGUACAACAGAUGAUGUAUGUUCAAUACUGUGCAUGAUUUAUGGAAAGCUGCAAUAAUGAAUACUGAAUAAAUGAAUAAAAAAAGCUAAUGUUUUAUU
Molecule: long non-coding RNA, 659 nt
Organism: Danio aesculapii
Lineage: Eukaryota; Metazoa; Chordata; Actinopteri; Cypriniformes; Danionidae
Exons: 3
Source: RefSeq, a predicted model, not a curated record